CACCUCAAGACUUGCUAACUGCGCAAAUAACCUCGCACUUGGCAAGGGUUAAGGUGAAGGUCGUAGUGACGCCGGCGCAUACGGGAGUCGAACGAGAGGCGGUUAGCCGUUACACGCAUACGAGUGAGAGAUUACAGCAAAUCCAACAAAAUGAGCUGGGAUUCUUACGCACAAAAUAUUCGAUUGUACGGGGCCCCCUUGGCCAGCGUUUAUGGGUUUGAUGGUAAUUUGUAUAGCUCAAAUGAUUCCUUGGCACUGGGUGCAACCCAAGCAGAAGCCAAGAAAAUCUGUGAUAUAAUCAGGAACAAGGACGUUAACGUCUUUUCUGAAGGAACGACAAUUGCAGGAAGCAAGUAUGCAGCCCUCAUAUUGGAAGAUGGUUUGCUUGUUUUGAAGGAAAAGACAGAUAACGCAUCAAAACGCUCAGCAUGCUUCACUAUCAGCAACACCAUUUUGGUGGGAGCAGCCAGCAAAGAUGAUUCAGUGAAAGCAGAAAAGCUGCGUGCAUCUGUAGAGGCAGUUCGUGAUUACCUAAUUUCUGUAAAUUGCUAAAUAUCUGUAGACAUGUCUUCAGUUCCUUUGCAUUCCCUUCCUCAUCAUCCACCUGUGAAAUUACCAAGGGGAAAAAAAUGACAUCAAGAUUUCAAGAAAUUUUCUUCGCUACCAAUUCAUUUUCUGAAAUUUACAGAGUUGCAUGGAACUAUGGGAUGAACCCCAUUGAAGGAACAUAAAGAUACCAAAAAAAGGGUUUUAAAAAAAUUUCAGUAAACUGAAUUAUAAGACAAAGAUAAAGAUGAAUAUCAUCUCUCUGAACUUUUAAGAAAUUGAAAAUUACAUUUAAUGCAGAAUGUAAAUGUACAACUUCAUACAUCAUAGGCUUUAUAUUUUCACCUGCUGCAUUUGCGUUCCUCUGUAUGUUUGAACUAGAAAGCUAUACCUAACAUUUCCCUUUCAGUCAUUAUGACAGUGAAAGAGAAGGGUUUAAGGGACCAUUGUUUGCUGUGGCUUAAAAGAAGAAAUAAAAUUCACUUUAAUAUUUACAGAUGUCAGAAAUGGGAUUAGUCAUGGGCACAAUUGGUUCUGAUUAUCUGAUAAAAUAAUGGACCAUUGGAAUUUAUACAAGAAGGGACCAAUUUAGAUUGACAUUUGAAUUGUACAUUUUAACAAAAUGUGUAAGUGCUCAAGAACAUUUCAAGCUUCCUUCUGCAUUUUAAAUAAAGUUUGUUUCAAACGUUGGAGAAGUUAGUGUCAGAAUUUCCCCUUUGACUCUAAUGUUUUCAGAUGGGAAACAAUGCUCAGUUUUUCUGUAGCUCAUGUAACAUAAAUUGAAAAUGAUUGUUAUUUUGUUUUCCAUAGAUACCUGACAGUUUUAAUGCUUUAGAGGAAAAGAGCAAGCACUAGAAAUUAUUAGCCUUUUAACUAAAGCUUGUGCAUCAUAUUCACAAAUUCUAUCUUUUGAUACAGAUAUCUUGGCAUUUUAGUAAACUAAUAUCUUGAAUGUAUUAAUGGUCUGCUUCACAAUUGUUACACAAAAAGUUGAACUUGAAGUGUGUACUGUACUAGACUCAAAAAAGCCACAUCCUAAGACUUGAAGUACUUGCCCUGUUUGCAGGACAAACAUUUCAUGUUUGUGUCUGAUUAUAUAACAUUGUAAUGUCUCUUUUGCUUAGCAGUUUAUAUUGUAUGCUUCUCUGUAUUGUUAUCCUUUUUACACUUGAAUACCAUUUUUGUAUUUGAAAAUAUGCAAAACAAUGUGAUAGACCCUCAACACGACAAAAGCUCACGUCUUUCUUUCACAGUAUGCUUUUCUGAGUAAGAAAUUAUUCGUUUGCAUCAUGAGAGAACAAAUUCCUUGUUGAGUAUUUCAUUAUUUUGUGGGUUCCUGGGGUUUUUUUUUUUUUGGAAUGUCUGUUAAGUAGAAUUUUUUUAACGCAGCAUAUAUCUGCCUGUUUGCAUUUAACCACUGGUGUCUUGACUGGGCAUUGUCGUAGAGCCAAGCACACUGACAGUAGAAGGAAGAUGAACUUUGGAUUUUUCCAGACUCUAUUUCUUGACUACAGUUUUCAUUUAUAUUGCCAAAGCUUAUACCUGCUUAGCUACUAUUAAACCUUUCUGAAAUUUG
This 2122-nucleotide long non-coding RNA is filed under the name Pomacea canaliculata. RNAcentral describes it as "uncharacterized LOC112576916". The record is from RNAcentral. Lineage: Eukaryota; Metazoa; Mollusca; Gastropoda; Architaenioglossa; Ampullariidae.